CCGCCGAGACCCUGGAGAUCCGCCUCCAGAAAGGCGUCCCCGCAACCCUAGUCCCCCACAGGUUUUUCAAUCUCCCUUCCUCUAUCAUGUACUUAUCUUUUUUUCUUGUGGGUUGAUGUCUUUUCGUUUCUCAACAAGCCAAAGUGAACUACUUGACCACUAAUUGCUCCCCUUCUGGAUCUGACUACCCUAGAAUAUUCAUUUGAAGCGAAAGGCAAUUCAUUUUCUUGCUUUUACUGUGAAAAACACCCACCAGUUUGAACGGUUCUGCUGCAUUUUUGGUAAUUCCUGUUUGCUACUCACUGUGCCCUAAAUACCGAAAUUAUGCUAAGUUGUCUCCUCACUAUCACCAAUUCACCAUCGGUUUCUUUAGAAAAGUUAGUGUAUAUCGGAUUGGUUGAUGUGCGAUUGUAGAAAUCUUGACCUGAUCAUACCGUUGUCAUUAAUGCUGUCGUGAUCCAUGUUUGCC
This 469-nucleotide long non-coding RNA is filed under the name Linum usitatissimum (flax). RNAcentral describes it as "long non-coding RNA (LUSI_LNC001671)". The record is from RNAcentral. Lineage: Eukaryota; Viridiplantae; Streptophyta; Magnoliopsida; Malpighiales; Linaceae.